ACUCUGCACCUUGGGGAGGCUGAAGUUCCUGGAUCCAAUGAUUCCAGGCAGGAAACAUGUGCAGGAGACCAGGAUUACAUACAGUACCUGACUGCUGCUCAUAGCCUUGGAAGGAGCAAGGCAGGCUGGCUCCAAAGGAUAGCAUGGGAGUAGAAGUAAAUUCAUGAAUCUUAGAGCACAGACUAAAUAUCUAAUGUACUUUCUGUUUUAGCAUAGAAUAAAACAUUCAGCUCUGUAUGUAUUCCUCUCUGAAGAGUGAAAAAAUAUCAGAAGAAUCCAUAGCUUGGAAAGGAUUUCUCCUAUGUCUGAACUCCAGUGAUGUAGAAAGAUCCUGGGUGCUAUUCAUAGUAUUCCAAGAUCUUAAAAUCCAUUACUCUGCACAAGGAAAACAAAGAAAUUAAGUGGGUUUGAUGACGAGCAAAGACGUCAAAUGCAGAAGCUCAGCAUACGUGGGAGUUUGGCAAGAAGGCAGAGCAGCAAAAAGAGCAAGGGAGCUGUGGUUCUUUCAGCGUGUCUGGUUUUAAGGAGCUACUGGUGCAGGAUGCACUUGAGAACUCGAGAGGCAACACUUGCAAUUAUUUGCACUCUUGCAAUUCAGCAGAACUGAGCCCAGUUUUUCACCUCAUGACUAUGGAGACUGAAUUUCUGACCCAGCUUGCUGCUACCACACUCUUGGGACAACCAGUGCUUCCAGAAAGUUGCUAUCUGUCUUCUGAGGUGGAUCCAGAGAGGUAGCAGCAGAUGGCUGCUGCCAGGGAAGGUGAUUUCUGCCAAGUACCACUAAACAAUCAGUUUUGGAAUCUAUUUGGAGUCUAUAAAUGAUCUCUUGGGUCUGCUGUUCGUCACUUCAGUGCAAGGGCUUAACUGGAGUUAAGCCUUCACUCAGCAAGUGUGGAAACACUUUUAAUCAGAAGCAGGAAUCGUUGGCCCAGCUUGCCAAAUCAGAUUAAGAGCAGUUUAUAUGACCAUUGUAAGUAUCAUAAAGUGCCUGGACAUGGGAAACAUCAAUAUAUAAACAAGAUACCCCCUGAUUUUUUUAUUAUUUUGGCCUGCAACAGUGAGAAGCAUUUGAAAGGCCAGAUCCUUUGUAGUGCUGAAUAUCCUCAACUCCAGCUGCACUCCUUGAAAGACCAUGUGCUCAGUGACUCCUCAGGAGGCCCAUCUGGUAACAGCCCCAUGCUGCUCUCCCUGCCAGGGAGCAGCCACUACCACCCCAAGAAUGGAAAUUAAAAAAGCAACCUGACUCCUUUGAGAACCGCAAGACAUUCCUUGUAUGAGAAAUUACUUCAUAUUCAAGAUUUCUGCAUAGCUGUGCUGCCACUUACAGAAACAUGUUUUCACAGUAUAAUACAUUCACCCCCACUGAACCUCAGAACUCCGUUUAGGAUUUGACAUGUCUUCAGGAGAUCUUCAGGACCCACACAGGGUCCUGAAUAUAUGUGAACUAAGUAGUGACAGGAAGAAAAAAAGCCACUCCUGGAAAUUAAAAAAUAACUGAAUUUAGAUCAAACACAUGGAAAGUCUGGCUUUUGCCCUAGAAGGUUAAUCACUACUUGGAAUUUUUUGCCGUGGGAGAUUCCUUGUGUAAUUGUUGAAAGGCGAGAUCAAAACCCAAUAUCAUCUUUUGAGUGCCAGUGUCACGCCUGGAUAAAAACAAGCUGUAUCAGCACUAAUUAUAUUUGCUCCCAGACAUGCUGCUGAAGCUCUGACUAUGUUUGGGAUAGGAAGGAAUUUCCUCAUGUGGUGAAUUGGUAAAGUUUGGGAUUUGUCUUGUUCUUGUGCAUUGCUUAAGGACCAUUUUUUGGAGUCUUGUUUCAAAUUCUUUGACUUUCUGCAGCCUUGUGAUCAGAGCUAAAUAUUCAGCUUUUCCCACUACUGGGCCCUGCUUUGGUUCUAAAGGUUUUUUCUGCUUUACCAAAUAUGUAUGGAGGAUCUCAUUUUGCUGCAUUUUAAAGAUACUCUAGCAAUGGCAAAAAUAAUCUACAUUAUUACUUAUCUAAAAAUAAUAUACAGGGAAAGAAAAAGGGCAAAGGGAAUAAUGAACUGUACAGUCAGUUGCAACCUUCAACUUCAUUCUCUGGAAAACAAAUGAAUUGUAGGAUGCUCUAGUGUACAGAGAGGUGCUUCCGUGAUGAAAGAAAGUAGGACCUGGGAAAAGGCAGGCGUGAUGCUUCAGAGGAUCAUCUUGGGAGAUGAUAACUCAUUUCCUACCAUCAGUCAAUGUCUAUAACCACCUGCUUUUGGAGGAGAAUGCCAGGAUGAUGUCACCCAAAGGCUGCAGGUAAAUGCUGCAUCAAGUGGGAACCAGCAUUUUCCCUGUUUGAGUGCCUCUACUAUUCAGUGGAAUGGUUUUGCAAUGGGAAUUUGUGGCUUUUCCAGCAGUGCUGCUGCAGCCAGAGAAUAUGCAAGGUGAAAAGCACAACAAGUCUUGAGUUGCUCCUAGGCUGUUUGCAGCCCUGAGUUGUUCACUAAGACCUCAGCUUAGUAAAUGACAUUAGGAUCUCCCUUCUUCCCUCUCAGGGCUGCACAUGUGUCCAUCCUAGUGAGUGGCCCUUGUUGGGUAGCAGGCAGACUGUCCUCCCCCCGUCCUUUCAGGCUCUAGGUGUUCCUGCUGCUGUUGCAGGUGCCAGCACACCCUGU
This is a long non-coding RNA of Passer domesticus (house sparrow), 2640 nucleotides long. RefSeq lists it as uncharacterized. The record is from RefSeq and is a predicted model, not a curated record. Lineage: Eukaryota; Metazoa; Chordata; Aves; Passeriformes; Passeridae. The transcript has 5 exons.